RNAcentral lists this ribosomal RNA (326 nucleotides) under uncultured eukaryote. Its description in RNAcentral is "partial 18S ribosomal RNA". It matches the Rfam family "Eukaryotic small subunit ribosomal RNA", at positions 1470 to 1796 of the family's 1831-position model. The record is from RNAcentral.
CCCUUAGAUGUUCUGGGCUGCACGCGCGCUACACUGAUGUACUCAACGAGUUUUCGACCUUGCCUGGAAAGGUUGGGUAAUCUUGUUAAAAUGCAUCGUGAUGGGGAUAGAUUAUUGCAAUUAUUAAUCUUCAACGAGGAAUUCCUAGUAAGCGCGAGUCAUCAGCUCGUGCUGAUUACGUCCCUGCCCUUUGUACACACCGCCCGUCGCGCCUACCGAUUGAGUGAUCCGGUGAAUAAUUCGGACUGCAGCAAUGUUUGGAUCCCGAACGUUGCAGCGGAAAGUUUAGUGAACCUUAUCACUUAGAGGAAGGAGAAGUCGUAACA